CUAGAGAUAGAAGUUACUUCGGUACAUCGGUGACAGGUGGUGCAUGGUUGUCGUCAGCUCGUGUCGUGAGAUGUGGGUUAAGUCCCGCAACGAGCGCAACCCCUAUUGUUAGUUGCCAUCAUUCAGUUGGGCACUCUAGCGAGACUGCCGGUAAUAAACCGGAGGAAGGUGGGGAUGACGUCAAAUCAUCAUGCCCCUUAUGACCUGGGCUACACACGUGCUACAAUGGUUGGUACAACGAGUUGCGAGUCGGUGACGGCGAGCUAAUCUCUUAAAGCCAAUCUCAGUUCGGAUUGUAGGCUGCAACUCGCCUACAUGAAGUCGGAAUCGCUAGUAAUCGCGGAUCAGCACGCCGCGGUGAAUACGUUCCCGGGCCUU
Molecule: ribosomal RNA, 378 nt
Filed under: uncultured Streptococcus sp.
Lineage: Bacteria; Bacillati; Bacillota; Bacilli; Lactobacillales; Streptococcaceae
Description: bacterial SSU rRNA
Rfam family: Bacterial small subunit ribosomal RNA
Source: RNAcentral